GAAUCAUGCUCAACUCAAAUAAUCCUGUGACUCCUCACUAGGACUACCCUGGCCAAGAUUUUGCUAAAUUAAAACACGACUGUACACAGCUCCUGAACUGGAGUGGUCAAUCCCAACUUGACACACGCACCGACAAGUCAAGUACUUGACUACACCCAGCAGCCUUCCGUCACUGAAUUAGAAAUUCAGAUAGUCCAGUGCCUAAGUGUAGUGAGUUGCUUGCAAGUCACCGUGG
Molecule: long non-coding RNA, 235 nt
Filed under: Elaeis guineensis (African oil palm)
Lineage: Eukaryota; Viridiplantae; Streptophyta; Magnoliopsida; Arecales; Arecaceae
Description: long non-coding RNA (EGUI_LNC060870)
Source: RNAcentral